This 225-nucleotide long non-coding RNA is filed under the name Nicotiana benthamiana. Its description in RNAcentral is "long non-coding RNA (NBEN_LNC008449)". The record is from RNAcentral. Lineage: Eukaryota; Viridiplantae; Streptophyta; Magnoliopsida; Solanales; Solanaceae.
GUAAGUCAUUUCUAGGUCUUCUAAAGUGUUCAACAUUUGGUCUAGCAUGCAUAUUGGUUCUAGGGUUGCUAUUUCUAGGAUGAGCAUUUGUUUUAUUAAUCCUAGGUUGAGCCUUAGGUGGUUGGUGUUUGGCUUCAACCUUUUCUUUAGGCUCAUUCUUAAAACCUAUGCCAUGCUUGGUUGACUUCAAAUUAACAAGGACCUCAUUCAAAUUUUUGUGAGNNN